CCUCUCCACUUCGAGAUAAACAUAGAUUAGACAUAAAAAAUCUGAACUCAAUAAAUGUCUAAAUCCAGAGGCAAAAAAAUCAUUUGGAACGGCUCGAUUUGAAGCGAUCCCCAACAUGUAUCCCACUGAAGUGAGGGAGACGAUUCUGCUAGACCCGCUUUUUCAACCAAAAUCGCCAGACAUUCCUACGUUAUGUCUCAUCUCCUCUCUUGGUGUGUUUCUACCAUCUCUUGUAGAGAUAAGAUCCCGUCCCCUGUGGAUAUGCAUCUCGGACACUUGCGAGUCCACUCCCGGAAUUUCUUUGGCAGCGUACACUGUACAGCGCCUAGAGCUUUGAUAUUUUAGCAUGGAAUAAGAAACAAGAGAUAUUCGUUGCCAUGGAUUGGACGGUGAAAGGGAUGGGCGAUGGCUACCAUCGGCAUCAUCACCGGCCACCUGUUUCUUCUCUGUUGCUUUACUUGCACGGUUGCAACACCAAUUCCUUCAGCUUUCACUUUCGGCCCUUAUGACGCUCUCCUACUCCAAGCAAGAGGUCGGUCCAGAUUCGUGCCCGUUAAAGCAGACAGGAAGGAAGAAGGCUCCGCCUCAUCAAGGUCUUUAUUCAGUGAGGGAGUGCCUCUGAGUUGGACGCCAUGGUGCCGUGGAGGCUGGAGGCGCGACUGGCAGAGACGGUGAGGGCAGCGCUCCUCGGCUGGCUCUUCUUCUGCAUCACCGUCGCCAGCGAUGUCGCACAUGCGCUCAGAAGCAGCGAUCUCUCCAUCUAAGGCCGGCCACGUUCAACAUCGCCGGCUGCCUUUUCAACUCUGCGCCUACAAAGUGGCAGUUCAUUGGACACGCAGGAAGAAAAUUGAUUUACAGCAGUGUAACCAGACAGUGAGUUCAUCCAUGAGAGAAUGAGUUCAAUGUAAAGGUGAAAUAUUCAUAUAGAUUAGAUGUAAAAUCUUGUAUCAAACAGAGAAAUACUGGCUAUUGCUCAAAGUGGCCUGACUUUCAAA
Molecule: long non-coding RNA, 995 nt
Organism: Triticum dicoccoides
Lineage: Eukaryota; Viridiplantae; Streptophyta; Magnoliopsida; Poales; Poaceae
Exons: 2
Source: RefSeq, a predicted model, not a curated record